This 29-nucleotide non-coding RNA is filed under the name Homo sapiens (human). Lineage: Eukaryota; Metazoa; Chordata; Mammalia; Primates; Hominidae. The record is from RNAcentral.
UACCACCCAGGGGACUUGGCGUUCUGUGU